This 492-nucleotide ribosomal RNA is filed under the name uncultured bacterium. Its description in RNAcentral is "partial 16S ribosomal RNA". It matches the Rfam family "Bacterial small subunit ribosomal RNA", at positions 29 to 507 of the family's 1533-position model. The record is from RNAcentral.
AGUGAACGCUGGCGGUAGGCCUAACACAUGCAAGUCGAACGGCAGCACAGUAAGAGCUUGCUCUUACGGGUGGCGAGUGGCGGACGGGUGAGGAAUACAUCGGAAUCUACUUUUUCGUGGGGGAUAACGUAGGGAAACUUACGCUAAUACCGCAUACGACCUACGGGUGAAAGCAGGGGAUCUUCGGACCUUGCGCGAUUGAAUGAGCCGAUGUCGGAUUAGCUAGUUGGCGGGGUAAAGGCCCACCAAGGCGACGAUCCGUAGCUGGUCUGAGAGGAGGGUCAGCCACACUGGAACUGGGACACGGUCCAGACUCCUACGGGAGGCAGCAGUGGGGAAUAUUGGACAAUGGUCGCAAGCCUGAUCCAGCCAUACCGCGUGGGUGAAGAAGGCCUUCGGGUUGUAAAGCCCUUUUGUUGGGAAAGAAAAGCAGCAGGUUAAUACCCCGCUGUUCUGACGGUACCCAAAGAAUAAGCACCGGCUAACUUCGUG